UCUUCUUGUUCACGACAACAACAAGCCACACCCAUCUCCCUUUUUUCUUCAACACAACACACACACAUUACAAGCAUAUAUGAAGCAUAUUAUGAAUAUCUAAGCAAGUUCUAGCCAUGGAGAUGCACUAGGAAGCAUUCUUGCAAGGAUUGGAGCUUCAACCCUUUCUUAUAAUCUUCAUCUUCUUCAUUAGUUGCUUCCCUACCCUUGUUGCUAGUAGCAACUAGUGGAUCCUUGCACUUCAUGAAACAAGAACGAGCAUGUCAAGAAAGCGAUGUCAUCCUUUUGGAGGAUUUAGUUCACAUCUCCCGCCCUUGUGCGAAAGAUGGAAUGCAAAACCUCAAUCUGUUAAAACUUUAUUUUUGUACAAGUUUUUUUAUGAAACAAUAUAACUUGUGAUGUCUUUUGGAAACAACUUAUGACUUGUAAACUAUUUCUUGUU
Molecule: long non-coding RNA, 442 nt
Organism: Helianthus annuus (common sunflower)
Lineage: Eukaryota; Viridiplantae; Streptophyta; Magnoliopsida; Asterales; Asteraceae
Exons: 2
Source: RefSeq, a predicted model, not a curated record